This 402-nucleotide ribosomal RNA is filed under the name uncultured bacterium. RNAcentral's name for it is "bacterial SSU rRNA". It matches the Rfam family "Bacterial small subunit ribosomal RNA", at positions 355 to 774 of the family's 1533-position model. The record is from RNAcentral.
UCGGGAAUUUUGGGCAAUGGGCGAAAGCCUGACCCAGCAACGCCGCGUGAGGGAUGAAGUAUUUCGGUAUGUAAACCUCGAAAGAAUGGGAAGAAUAAAUGACGGUACCAUUUAUAAGCUCCGGCUAACUACGUGCCAGCAGCCGCGGUAAUACGUAGGGAGCAAGCGUUGCUCGGAUUUACUGGGCGUAAAGGGCGCGUAGGCGGCGCGGUAAGUCACUUGUGAAAUCUCUGAGCUUAACUCAGAAUGGCCAAGUGAUACUGCUGUGCUAGAGUGCGGAAGAGGCAACCGGAAUUCUUGGUGGCGCGGUGAAAUGCGUAGAUAUCAAGAGGAACACCUGAGGCGAAGGCGGGUUGCUGGGCCGACACUGACGCUGAUGCGCGAAAGCCAGGGGAGCAAACG